This 484-nucleotide ribosomal RNA is filed under the name uncultured bacterium. RNAcentral's name for it is "partial 16S ribosomal RNA". It matches the Rfam family "Bacterial small subunit ribosomal RNA", at positions 30 to 507 of the family's 1533-position model. The record is from RNAcentral.
AUUGAACGCUGGCGGCAGGCCUAACACAUGCAAGUCGAGCGGAUGAAGGGAGCUUGCUCCUGGAUUCAGCGGCGGACGGGUGAGUAAUGCCUAGGAAUCUGCCUGGUAGUGGGGGAUAACGUCCGGAAACGGGCGCUAAUACCGCAUACGUCCUGAGGGAGAAAGUGGGGGAUCUUCGGACCUCACGCUCUCAGAUGAGCCUAGGUCGGAUUAGCUAGUUGGUGGGGUAAAGGCCUACCAAGGCGACGAUCCGUAACUAGUCUGAGAGGAUGAUCAGUCACACUGGAACUGAGACACGGUCCAGACUCCUACGGGAGGCAGCAGUGGGGAAUAUUGGACAAUGGGCGAAAGCCUGAUCCAGCCAUGCCGCGUGUGUGAAGAAGGUCUUCGGAUUGUAAAGCACUUUAAGUUGGGAGGAAGGGCAGUAAGUUAAUACCUUGCUGUUUUGACGGUACCAACAGAAUAAGCACCGGCUAACUUCGUG